RNAcentral lists this ribosomal RNA (504 nucleotides) under uncultured bacterium. RNAcentral describes it as "bacterial SSU rRNA". It matches the Rfam family "Bacterial small subunit ribosomal RNA", at positions 15 to 507 of the family's 1533-position model. The record is from RNAcentral.
GAUCAUGGCUCAGGAUGAACGCUAGCUACAGGCUUAACACAUGCAAGUCGAGGGGAAACGACAUCGAAAGCUUGCUUUUGGUGGGCGUCGACCGGCGCACGGGUGAGUAACGCGUAUCCAACCUGCCCACCACUUGGGGAUAACCUUGCGAAAGUAAGACUAAUACCCAAUGAUAUCCCACGAAGGCAUCCGAAUGGGAUUAAAGAUUUAUCGGUGAUGGAUGGGGAUGCGUCUGAUUAGCUUGUUGGCGGGGUAACGGCCCACCAAGGCAACGAUCAGUAGGGGUUCUGAGAGGAAGGUCCCCCACAUUGGAACUGAGACACGGUCCAAACUCCUACGGGAGGCAGCAGUGAGGAAUAUUGGUCAAUGGGCGAGAGCCUGAACCAGCCAAGUAGCGUGCAGGAUGACGGCCCUAUGGGUUGUAAACUGCUUUUAUAGGGGAAUAAAGUGAGCCACGUGUGGUUUUUGCAUGUACCCUAUGAAUAAGGACCGGCUAAUUCCGUG